CCUGCGCGCGCGCAUCCUAUGCUACCGGUGUCGCUUACCGACGGCUGGACGUGUAAUUGAAUAGUACUUGCCGAUAUCGAUGACAUUUCCUACACAUCAAGCAUCUCGAAAGAACCCACACAUCUUCAACGUGUAACAACAGCAACGCAAACAGUGCAACAACGAACGGCCAUCAAGUACCCUAGUCGCCUAGACUAUCAAGCAGCGAGUUCCCACAACGAAAACCUCAUUACAUCCCCAUUUAGAAAAAAAAGGGAAACAAUUACAAAAGGUGUGUUGUGACGUCACACUCGAACCGUGUACACAUCCUUCCGACUGCCAUCAGUUUGUUCCCACGAGCUGGCCAAGCUUUGUUUAUACGAUCAUAAGUACCAUUCGCUUUUAAGGUCUUUGUUAGGCUUUUCAGGUCAUAGAAAAUUCAAAGCGAAGUGGGUGUUAAGUUAGAUUGAAUGGCCCUGGGAAUGUCAAACAUUAUACCAAUGUAUGUAUAGUAUAGCAAGUCUAACAUUUCGCUAUUCGAUGUUGAAGUACAUAUGUGGUGUUCAAACAUUUGAAAAAUAUCAUGCAGACAGAGAGAAAGCAUAAAAGCAUUAAGCAUUUCUAGUCCAGAAUGAAGAAUAAGUAAUACGCGAAUCUUUUGUUUGGGUUUGGAAAGAAUAAAUUAUUUUCGCAACCAAUUGUCCUGCAGAACUAUGAAAGGAUUUAUGCCAAUGCACAUUCUAUCUCACAACAUUGCGAUAAAGCCGUACUCUAACCGUUAUAUCGAAAUUCGGUAUUGAUUCGGACAGAAGCGUGGAAAUCAGUGCGUAGGGUGCGCGCACGCCGCCCUGCAGCGACCAAUCAGAGACGAGCCUGUGACAGAUGCGCGCGCAACACUAUUGUAGUCACAACUAUUGUGCGAUGGACAAAGUUGGGGUGGCGUGCGUGUGAGAGCAAACAUAUGAGCCAUACAUUACUCCACUGCAAUAAAAUAACGGUGGAAUGAUGAUACACAUUGUAUGCGGACGAGCGACGCCGACGCGCCAGAUAUCGGAUGACUCAAAUAUUGAGGAACGUUAUAUUUCCUAUCACUUUUGAAGCAGCCAUCUGUAAGGUAUAGUUCUACUUUGUUAACGCUCACCUUUGAAAACUUAGAACAGAAUUUUAUUAAUUAUCACAUUCAAAAUCACUGCAGUUUUUGAAGGCUACAAUAAUUACAAUCUCGUUGUUGUAGUUGGGAUCGCCGAUGUAAGUUCCCAGACACUUUAAUCUUAAAGUUCUUUACGCAUGCAUCACAUAUCUUUGUAUUAGGGGAAUAUCUGAUGAAUUCCAUUCAAUCAGUCAUGUCAAAUUGUACUUCACAGAUGCAUUAAGCUUCACAAUUACGAACAGCAUACCCUGAUUAACCCCUUGGACAAUGUUCGUUAAAUUCAAACUUGUUUAUCAAAAUGCUGGUUGUCGGGGCAACGCACCCUCUUGCCCCGUGCCCGGGCCAUCCCGCAGGUGUGCGCAGGAUUUAAUCAACUGAUUGUUACUGACAUACGCACACACAAGCAUACCUACCUAUGUGUUGGGGUAAGGGGACUUACCGUUGUAGAGGUAAACAAUAGCCUAAAAUAUUGGAGGUAAAACAAUCGAUCGAUGCGUGUGUAAAAAGCGGUUAAAUUGAUGAGAUAGGUUUUGGGGUUGUUUAUCCAUGUGUCAGCUUAAACAUGUCUCAAACAGAACCCGUAAAAUUUUCACAAUGAAUGUACAUCGAAUGUCUAAACAUGAUCUGGCUUUUACUGAUAGUAGAAAACCUUUUACUGAUAGUAAAAAAUAAUGUUGCAUUCCCACAAAAAAGCAUGUUAAGGAAUCACCAUAAAAAUAAAGCUCAUUAAGCAAAUCCGUAUUCGGCCAUGAUCAUAAAAAUAUUUCAUGUAAACAUGAAUGGAUGCAUUCUUUGUCCCCUCCGUCUAUAAUCUGGCAUAAUAGUGGAGUAAUUUACGGACUCUUUGGUCGAUUGGCGAAAAAAAAAGAAAAAAGGAGAGAAUAAAAAGCUGUGUAAGCAUCGGGUAUGACAGUGCAAGAGCGCGGAGCUCCGCUGCGCCGGCGCACGUGCCCGCCACGCGCCGCACGCGCCAAACACGCGCACCUUGCGACCGUCUGCAUAAACAUCAAGUAUUUAUUAUUUUUAGAUUGUUUACCUGUGUGACCUGUAUGACCUAUGUUUUGAAUAAGUACUCGAUACUCAAUUCUUUAUUAGCAUUCCAUAUGUUAUACAGGUAGUACAUUUUACAGUCUAGACACAAUAUGGAGGGUCCACAGGGCACUGUCCAGUACCCUAUGGACCUAGAACCUACAUUAUAUUGAUGAAUUGAGAUGAAUGACACCGCUAGCGCAAAACAGUCCUGUAACAAGUAAGUAAUAAGCAAAUUAAUGGUGUACGAGACUGGCACGUGACAGUAAGUUACAGGCCACAUGUUGAACCCUAUUUAUUACCUACAGAAAGUUAUAAUCAUUGCUUGUCAAUAUUUGUAAUUGUGGUUAAUAAAUAACAAUUAUCAUUGCUUGUUUUACAGAAAGUAAAAUAUAGAAGCACA
RNAcentral lists this long non-coding RNA (2561 nucleotides) under Helicoverpa zea (corn earworm). RNAcentral describes it as "uncharacterized LOC124640201". Lineage: Eukaryota; Metazoa; Arthropoda; Insecta; Lepidoptera; Noctuidae. The record is from RNAcentral.